RNAcentral lists this transfer RNA (84 nucleotides) under Sulfurovum sp. Its description in RNAcentral is "tRNA-Leu". It matches the Rfam family "tRNA". From Rfam's summary of the family: Transfer RNA (tRNA) molecules are approximately 80 nucleotides in length. Their secondary structure includes four short double-helical elements and three loops (D, anti-codon, and T loops). Lineage: Bacteria; Pseudomonadati; Campylobacterota; Epsilonproteobacteria; Campylobacterales; Sulfurovaceae. The record is from RNAcentral.
GCGGAUGUGGUGAAAUUGGUAUACACGCUAGACUUAGGAUCUAGUGCCUUUGGCGUGGAGGUUCGACUCCUCUCAUCCGUACCA